GGUUACCCUAGGAAUUUAAAAAAUGCAUUACUCAGAAUGAAGAUACAGCUUUCAGACCUGGGCUAGUGUGUUCAGGACAUGCACUCUAAGCCGAGUCUCUCCUAUCCUGGAAAUAACCAGCCAGCAAUAGCAUAACAUCUUCUGUCCUCUGUGCUUCCUCCUGCCACCUGCUUAUAAGGAUCUUGAUGCCAAAUCUGGAUUGGAUACUCCAGCAAAAUCUUCCCAUGGAGAGAUCCUCACCUUAAUCCCAUCCACCAUCACGAGAAUCUACUCCUUGUGAUGAAUACUAGGAAAGUCUGUGACAAACCCAAGCUACAUAAAAUAACCUGUCCUAUAAUCUGCACCUUGGAUUCAAGAUGUGAGACAUGCAUCUCAGGAUCUCUGUAGUGGACACAGAGAUAUAAACAUCACAGAGUAUAAAAAGAAAGAUACAAGCAACAGAGCAAAGGAUUGGUCACUGAGUAAAGAACUGAAAACGCUUAAGCUACGAAGAUUCUUCCCUGAAUAUAGAUGUGCUCAUAAUUUUAGCUACAAUAAAUGUACAUACUGGCUUUACACUAGAAUUAUUCUGUAAGUACCUAGGAUGCCAUUUAAGUCUUGUCAGGCCAUCUUUCAAGUGUUUUUUUAAAUGACGCUGAAAUAGAAUUUCAGUUUUACUGAAAUAUAAUUCACAUGUCAUAAAAUUCACCAAUGUAAACUGCUUAACCCAGUGGUUUUCAGUAUAUUCAGAGUUGGCAACCAUCAUCACAAACAACACAGAAUAUUGUCUUUACCCAAAGAAACCUCAUAGCUAUUAGCAGUCACUUCCCAUUUUCUCAAAAUUCUUUCCAUUGGCCCCCACCCUUUUCACCCAAGCCCCAGGCAACUGCUAAUUUUUUUCUAUCUCAACUAUAGAUUUGCUUGUGCUGGACAUUUCAUACAAGUGCAAUCAUGCAAUGUGUGGUCUUUUGUGACUAACUUGAUCUUGUUUUCAAGGAUCAUCCAUGUUGUAGCACAUACCAGUACUUCCUUUAUAUUACUUAGUGAUGCUCCACUGUUUGUGUGUAUAUGUAUGUAUGUAUGUAUAUAUUACAUACUUAUCCUUUCAUCAGUUGAUGCAUGUGUGAAUUGUUCCCACUUGACUAUUCCAAAUAACGUUGCUAUGAACAUUUACAUACAAAAUUUUAUGUGAGCUUAUGUUUUCAAUUCUCUUGGGUAGGUAUUUGCAUAGGAAUGGAAUUGCUGGGCAUAUGGUAAUUGUAUAUUUCUCUUUUUGAGGAACUGCUAGACUACUUUCUCAAGUAGCUGCACCAUUGUAUAAUUCCAGCAACAGUACAGGAGGGUCCCAAUUUCUCCACAUGCUCAUCAGCACAUGCGGUUGUCUGUGCCUAUGCACCAGUUUUGCAUUGUGGUUUUGAUCUGUAUUUCUCUGAUGGCUAAUAAUGCUAAGCAGCUGCUCAUCUGCAUAUUGGUUGUUGGUACAUCUUCUUUGGAAAUAUCCCUGUUCAAAAUUUUGCCUAUUUUUAAACUAGAUUACUUUUAAUUGUUGAGUUACGAGUUUUUUAUAUAUUCUAAAUACA
This is a non-coding RNA of Heterocephalus glaber (naked mole-rat), 1559 nucleotides long. The record is from RefSeq and is a predicted model, not a curated record. NCBI's taxonomy places the organism in Eukaryota, Metazoa, Chordata, Mammalia, Rodentia, Bathyergidae.